UGGGGAAUUUUGGACAAUGGGCGAAAGCCUGAUCCAGCAAUGCCGCGUGUGUGAAGAAGGCCUUCGGGUUGUAAAGCACUUUUGUCCGGAGAGAAAUCCUUGGCUCUAAUACAGUCGGGGGAUGACGGUACCGGAAGAAUAAGCACCGGCUAACUACGUGCCAGCAGCCGCGGUAAUACGUAGGGUGCAAGCGUUAAUCGGAAUUACUGGGCGUAAAGCGUGCGCAGGCGGUUUGCUAAGACCGAUGUGAAAUCCCCGGGCUCAACCUGGGAACUGCAUUGGUGACUGGCAGGCUAGAGUAUGGCAGAGGGGGGUAGAAUUCCACGUGUAGCAGUGAAAUGCGUAGAGAUGUGGAGGAAUACCGAUGGCGAAGGCAGCCCCCUGGGCCAAUACUGACGCUCAUGCACGAAAGCGUGGGGAGCAAACAGGAUUAGAUACCCUGGUAGUCCACGCCCUAAACGAUGUCAACUAGUUGUUGGGGAUUCAUUUCCUUAGUAACGUAGCUAACGCGUGAAGUUGACCGCCUGGGGAGUACGGUCGCAAGAUUAAAAGCUC
Molecule: ribosomal RNA, 555 nt
Filed under: uncultured bacterium
Lineage: Bacteria
Description: partial 16S ribosomal RNA
Rfam family: Bacterial small subunit ribosomal RNA
Source: RNAcentral